GCCUAUACUGCAGUCGAGCGGACAGAAGGGAGCUUGCUCCCGGAUGUUAGCGGCGGACGGGUGAGUAACACGUGGGUAACCUGCCUGUAAGACUGGGAUAACUCCGGGAAACCGGAGCUAAUACCGGAUAGUUCCUUGAACCGCAUGGUUCAAGGAUGAAAGACGGUUUCGGCUGUCACUUACAGAUGGACCCGCGGCGCAUUAGCUAGUUGGUGAGGUAACGGCUCACCAAGGCGACGAUGCGUAGCCGACCUGAGAGGGUGAUCGGCCACACUGGGACUGAGACACGGCCCAGACUCCUACGGGAGGCAGCAGUAGGGAAUCUUCCGCAAUGGACGAAAGUCUGACGGAGCAACGCCGCGUGAGUGAUGAAGGUUUUCGGAUCGUAAAGCUCUGUUGUUAGGGAAGAACAAGUGCAAGAGUAACUGCUUGCACCUUGACGGUACCUAACCAGAAAGCCACGGCUAACUACGUGCCAGCAGCCGCGGUAAUACGUAGGUGGCAAGCGUUGUCCGGAAUUAUUGGGCGUAAAGGGCUCGCAGGCGGUUUCUUAAGUCUGAUGUGAAAGCCCCCGGCUCAACCGGGGAGGGUCAUUGGAAACUGGGAAACUUGAGUGCAGAAGAGGAGAGUGGAAUUCCACGUGUAGCGGUGAAAUGCGUAGAGAUGUGGAGGAACACCAGUGGCGAAGGCGACUCUCUGGUCUGUAACUGACGCUGAGGAGCGAAAGCGUGGGGAGCGAACAGGAUUAGAUACCCUGGUAGUCCACGCCGUAAACGAUGAGUGCUAAGUGUUAGGGGGUUUCCGCCCCUUAGUGCUGCAGCUAACGCAUUAAGCACUCCGCCUGGGGAGUACGGUCGCAAGACUGAAACUCAAAGGAAUUGACGGGGGCCCGCACAAGCGGUGGAGCAUGUGGGUUUAAUUCGAAGCAACGCGAAGAACCUUACCAGGUCUUGACAUCCUCUGACACCCUAGAGAUAGGGCUUCCCUUCCGGGGACAGAGUGACAGGUGGUGCAUGGUUGUCG
Molecule: ribosomal RNA, 1023 nt
Filed under: Bacillus altitudinis
Lineage: Bacteria; Bacillati; Bacillota; Bacilli; Caryophanales; Bacillaceae
Description: bacterial SSU rRNA
Rfam family: Bacterial small subunit ribosomal RNA
Source: RNAcentral